Molecule: ribosomal RNA, 261 nt
Filed under: uncultured archaeon
Lineage: Archaea
Description: partial 16S ribosomal RNA
Rfam family: Archaeal small subunit ribosomal RNA
Source: RNAcentral
CAGCCGUAAACUAUGCUCGCUAGGUGUCAGGCAUGGCGCGACCGUGUCUGGUGCCGCAGGGAAGCCGUGAAGCGAGCCACCUGGGAAGUACGGCCGCAAGGCUGAAACUUAAAGGAAUUGGCGGGGGAGCACAACAACGGGUGGAGCCUGCGGUUUAAUUGGACUCAACGCCGGACAACCCACCGGGGACGACAGCAAUAUGUAGGCCAGGCUGAAGACCUUGCCUGAAUCGCUGAGAGGAGGUGCAUGGCGUAGACGUCU